UCCCUGAUAGCUCAGUUGGUAGAGAAUCUGCCUGCAAUUCAGGAGACCCUGGUUUGAUUCCUGGGUCGGGAA
RNAcentral lists this transfer RNA (72 nucleotides) under Bos taurus (domestic cattle). It matches the Rfam family "tRNA". From Rfam's summary of the family: Transfer RNA (tRNA) molecules are approximately 80 nucleotides in length. Their secondary structure includes four short double-helical elements and three loops (D, anti-codon, and T loops). RNAcentral also lists the same sequence under 1 other name. The record is from Rfam by way of RNAcentral. Lineage: Eukaryota; Metazoa; Chordata; Mammalia; Artiodactyla; Bovidae.